This 190-nucleotide non-coding RNA is filed under the name Roseivivax jejudonensis. Lineage: Bacteria; Pseudomonadati; Pseudomonadota; Alphaproteobacteria; Rhodobacterales; Roseobacteraceae. The record is from RNAcentral.
GCAAACCGAAGCGCCGAUGAUAAUGUCGCCCCGUUCGGAAAGACGAGGGAAGUCGGUGAAAGGCCGACGCUGCCCCCGCAACUGUAAGCGAUGAGCAGGCUUUCGUGAUGCCACUGGCCACGCGGCUGGGAAGGCGGAAGCCGUGCGAUGAUCCGCGAGCCAGGAGACCUGUCGCCGGACGGACCAGAAA